This 890-nucleotide ribosomal RNA is filed under the name uncultured bacterium. RNAcentral's name for it is "bacterial SSU rRNA". It matches the Rfam family "Bacterial small subunit ribosomal RNA", at positions 33 to 915 of the family's 1533-position model. The record is from RNAcentral.
ACGCUGGCGGCAGGCUUACACAUGCAAGUCGAACGGAAACAGAAGUAGCUUGCUACUUUGCUGUCGAGUGGCGGCGGGUGAGUAAUGCUUGGGAAUAUGCCUUAUGGUGGGGGACAACAGUUGGAAACGACUGGUAAUACCGCAUAAUAUCUUCGGAUCAAAGUGGGGGACCUUCGGGCCUCACGCCAUGAGAGUAGCCCAAGUGGGAUUAGCUAGUUGUAAGGUAAUGGCUUACCAAGGCGACGAUCCCUAGCUGGUCUUAGAGGAUGACCAGCCAUACUGGAACUGAGACACGGUCCAGACUCCUACGGGAGGCAGCAGUGGGGAAUAUUGCACAAUGGAGGAAACUCUGAUGCACCAUGCCGCGUGUGUGAAGAAGGCUUUCGGGUUGUAAAGCACUUUCAGUGGGGAGGAAAGGUUAUUGUUUAAUAGACAAUAGCUGUGACGUUACCCACAGAAGAAGCACCGGCUAACUCCGUGCCAGCAGCCGCGGUAAUACGGAGGGUGCGAGCGUUAAUCGGAAAUACUGGGCGUAAAGCGCGCGUAGGUGGUUAAUUAAGUCAGAUGUGAAAGCCCAGGGCUCAACCCUGGAACUGCAUUUGAAACUGGUUAACUAGAGUUUUGUAGAGGGUGGUAGAAUUUCAGGUGUAGCGGUGAAAUGCGUAGAGAUCUGAAGGAAUACCAGUGGCGAAGGCGGGCCACCUGGACAAAGACAUGAUAUCUGAGGCGCGAAGGCGUGGGGAGCAAACGGGAUUAGAUACCCCGGUAGUCCACCGCACGUAAACGAUGUGCUAUUAGAAGUUUGUGGCAUAUGCCGUGGGUUUCAAAGCUAACGCAUUCAUGACCGCCUGGGGAGUACGGCCGCAAGGUAAAACUCAAAUGAAUUGACG